GCCUCGCAAGAGGAGCCUGGAGACAGGUGCUGCAUGGCUGUCGUCAGCUCGUGUCGUGAGAUGUUGGGUUAAGUCCCGCAACGAGCGCAACCCUUGUCCUUAGUUGCCAUCAUUUAGUUGGGCACUCUAAGGAGACUGCCGGUGUUAAACCGGAGGAAGGUGGGGAUGACGUCAAGUCCUCAUGGCCCUUAUGUCCAGGGCUACACACGUGCUACAAUGGCCGGUACAAAGGGCAGCUACUUGGUGACAAGAUGCUAAUCUCCAAAACCGGUCUCAGUUCGGAUCGAAGUCUGCAACUCGACUUCGUGAAGCUGGAUUCGCUAGUAAUCGCGCAUCAGCCAUGGCGCGGUGAAUACGUUCCCGGGCCUU
This 369-nucleotide ribosomal RNA is filed under the name uncultured Syntrophus sp. Its description in RNAcentral is "bacterial SSU rRNA". It matches the Rfam family "Bacterial small subunit ribosomal RNA", at positions 1014 to 1382 of the family's 1533-position model. Lineage: Bacteria; Pseudomonadati; Thermodesulfobacteriota; Syntrophia; Syntrophales; Syntrophaceae. The record is from RNAcentral.